AUACGAAGGGUGCAAGCGUUACUCGGAAUUACUGGGCGUAAAGCGUGCGUAGGUGGUUGUUUAAGUCUGUCGUGAAAGCCCUGGGCUCAACCUGGGAAUGGCGAUGGAAACUGGGCGACUAGAGUGUGGCAGAGGGUAGUGGAAUUCCUGGUGUAGCAGUGAAAUGCGUAGAGAUCAGGAGGAACAUCCGUGGUGAAGGCGACUGCCUGGGCCAACACUGACACUGAGGCACGAAAGCGUGGGGAGCAAACAGGAUUAGAUACCCUGGUAGUCCACGCCCUAAACGAUGCGAACUGGAUGUUGGGUGCAAUUUGGCACGCAGUAUCGAAGCUAACGCGUUAAGUUCGCCGCCUGGGGAGUACGGUCGCAAGACUGAAACUCAAAUGAAUUGGCGGGG
Molecule: ribosomal RNA, 397 nt
Filed under: uncultured bacterium
Lineage: Bacteria
Description: partial 16S ribosomal RNA
Rfam family: Bacterial small subunit ribosomal RNA
Source: RNAcentral